Long non-coding RNA from Helianthus annuus (common sunflower), 1365 nucleotides. RefSeq lists it as uncharacterized. NCBI's taxonomy places the organism in Eukaryota, Viridiplantae, Streptophyta, Magnoliopsida, Asterales, Asteraceae. The record is from RefSeq and is a predicted model, not a curated record. The transcript has 3 exons.
AGGCCAAAACUACCCAAUUGUAGCCGUCGUCAGCCAUGGUCGACCCAAAUGUAGGGACUUAAAUAAAAAGCCUAAUAAUUCACCCUAAAAUCGUUCAAGUCGUGGCGGAGGAGAAGCGACAUUAUUGAAUCGUUCUCCAAUUGCAAGGUUGGCCAACUCCAAUAUGAGUAGCAACGCGUCAAAUCAACUAUUCUUCGUCGUUUGUGGUUUUCUCUUAAAAAAUAUCAUCAACAGGUUGUGCACCGGAGGAAAUCUGCACCUUCUCUAUGAGGCGAAGACAGGUAAAGAGGUGGAUCAGCUACGACUAUUGACGAUGGGGCAACUAUAGGAGUUGCAGCGGCUGCUGUGGAUGGAGCAACUGCAGGAGGUGUUGCGGCUACUGGUGGAGCCGCUAGAGGGAUACUAGAAAUUGCGGUUUCAUGACCGGUAGUUACAGACUUACAGGUGGUGGGGAUGCUGAUUCCGUCUCUCCAUCUCUUUAAAUAGUAAAAGAAAAUAAGACAAAACUUAAAGUAAUGUAACAAGAUAGGUGGGUUAAGAGUGGUAUGUCAGGUUGGGAUAACAAGUCCAAAGAGGCAUCUUUUAUAAUCUUUUUUACUGGGAUGGGGAUUUAAAACAAACAGGUCCAGAUCGACCAAAAACACUCUUAUGUCCAAAAUUAAAAUUUUCAUAUUUAUGAACGGUAUAUUUUGCUCCUAAAUGCAGAAAUUAGAGUAGACGGUGCAGAAUGACGGUUAUAUUAUGUCAUUUCAACUUACGCACUCUCGAGAUUGUUCACAUGUAUAUAAAUCCAGAACUAUGGAUAUUGAUGUUUUUUAUAGGCUCAUUUUUUUGUUAUGGAAUAGUAAGCAACUGAAUUGCAUUAAUUUUAAGUUUAUUUUGAAUUUCUGAUGAAUGCUUGAUCGUCUUCAUCCCUAAAUCUGUUUUGCAUAGCACACCGCACCCAGCACUUGUCCCCGCCACACCCCGGCUUGCUAUUGAUUUUGACCAAGCGAAACAUGGAGAUUUUGAAUUCGUGACACACAUGACUUGUGUCUGAGCCUCUGCACUUGAAACCUCAAGACCGACAUCAUCAUGGGAAGGUAGAGGUGGCAGAGAAGGAUUCGAUGGAAUUUUCUAGGGGACAAGGUUUUGGACUGGCAAUGGAAUCACUUAUUUCAUACCUUGCUGAUGAUGAUCUGUUUCAUCCGCUGCUAAUGCUGGGACAAGAUCAACGGAUCAUUGGCAAAUUUAUCAGAUGUUAGUAAUUGGGAUCAUAUGAAGUGGCUAUUGGAAUGUUUAGAAAUUGUUGAUACUUCUGUUAUUUUAUUGCCACCUUUUUUUUUUUUUUUUUUUUGUAAUUUAGGACUAAUCUUGAUAAGGUUG